RNAcentral lists this unclassified non-coding RNA (277 nucleotides) under Clostridioides difficile. Its description in RNAcentral is "16S-23S ribosomal RNA intergenic spacer (ISR)". Lineage: Bacteria; Bacillati; Bacillota; Clostridia; Peptostreptococcales; Peptostreptococcaceae. The record is from RNAcentral.
ACCUACUGUUUAAUUUUGAGGGUUCGUUUUUACGAAUACUCAAAAUUAGCACUUUUAGCAACAGAAUAAACUGAACGCAUGUGAAGUUUGUUUGUUGGCGCUGUGCAUUAGCACUUUAAGCAACGGAAUUUAUUCGUUGGCGUUGUGCGUUAGCACUUUGAAAACUGCAUAUAUAUUUAGUGAUAUGACAUCUAAUUUGUAAUAUAUAAAGCUGAUAACUUUUUAAAAUUAUCGAAGUUGAUAGCUUCUAAUCUAUCAAACCUUUUUAACUGGUCAA